Non-coding RNA from Myodes glareolus (Bank vole), 709 nucleotides. The record is from RefSeq and is a predicted model, not a curated record. NCBI's taxonomy places the organism in Eukaryota, Metazoa, Chordata, Mammalia, Rodentia, Cricetidae.
AGUCAGCUGGCUCCCUGGCCUGUCACAUUCAGGCUGAUCUGCCUCCCAUCUCACCACAGGAACACCAGGUUUAGAGAGCUCAGCCAUCACAUCUGACUCUUCAUGUGUGUUCCAGGGAUUGAGCCCAGGUUCUCCGGUUACUGUGGCAAGUGCUUUUUACCUGCUGAGCCACCCCCACCCCGAACCCCUUUCCUAUGUUUUAAAUAUUUCCUCUCUCUUCCUCUCUUUUCUCCUUGUCUCAGAUUCUAGCCCCUGGGUUUUUUACAUUACAUCCUGUUCUUGUUUCAUGGAUAGACUGCUCUGUUUAAUCUCUGAGGACUACUGUCUUAACAUCUGUUUGCUUUAUGAAAUGUUUGCAUGAGGGUUAGACUUCUGGCAGUUUCGGUGAUUGAACUUGGGACCUCCUGUAUGGUAGGCCAGUAUCUCUGGUACUACUUCUGCUUUGAGCUUCUUCCUCUCCUCUUUUUUUCUUAGUUGUUGUUUUCUAUUUGUUUUGUUUGUUUGUUUUGUGCUAAGGUCUCACUCUGUAGCCCACACCGUCCUUGGACUCAAGAUGAUCUUUUCUCAGCCCCCAAGUACUGGGAUUACAGGAAGCAGACUCAGGUCGCCGGGCUUCCCGAACAUCCUGCCAUCCCUACAUCCGUCCUGAGACCUUUGUCAGUCUUGUUGCCAGACAAUGCUCGGCAAUCUAUUGUUAAAAUCUGGCGGA